Molecule: ribosomal RNA, 496 nt
Filed under: uncultured bacterium
Lineage: Bacteria
Description: partial 16S ribosomal RNA
Rfam family: Bacterial small subunit ribosomal RNA
Source: RNAcentral
GAUGAACGCUGGCGGCGUGCCUAAUACAUGCAAGUCGAGCGAACGGACGAGAAGCUUGCUUUUCUGAUGUUAGCGGCGGACGGGUGAGUAACACGUGGAUAACCUACCUAUAAGACUGGGAUAACUUCGGGAAACCGGAGCUAAUACCGGAUAAUAUUUUGAACCGCAUGGUUCAAAAGUGAAAGACGGUCUUGCUGUCACUUAUAGAUGGAUCCGCGCUGCAUUAGCUAGUUGGUAAGGUAACGGCUUACCAAGGCAACGAUGCAUAGCCGACCUGAGAGGGUGAUCGGCCACACUGGAACUGAGACACGGUCCAGGCUCCUACGGGAGGCAGCAGUAGGGAAUCUUCCGCAAUGGGCGAAAGCCUGACGGAGCAACGCCGCGUGAGUGAUGAAGGUCUUCGGAUCGUAAAACGCUGUUAUUAGGGAAGAACAUAUGUGUAAGUAACUGUGCACAUCUUGACGGUACCGAAGCAGAAAGCCACGGCUAACUACGU